Molecule: long non-coding RNA, 1775 nt
Filed under: Homo sapiens (human)
Lineage: Eukaryota; Metazoa; Chordata; Mammalia; Primates; Hominidae
Description: non-protein coding lnc-RLN1-2:1
Source: RNAcentral
UGAGAGUCAGUAUAAGAGAGAUUUGAAGAUGCUACACUGCUGGCUUUGAAGAUUGUUUAAGGAUCAUGAGUCAAGGAAUUCAGGAAGCCCCUAGAGGCUGGAAAAGGCACGGAAACAGAUUAUUCUUUAGAGCCUCUACAGGGAUGCAGUCCUGCCAGCCCAUUUUGGACUUCUGAACUUAGAACUGUAAGAUAAUAGAUUGGUGUUGUUUUAAGCCACAGACUUCGUAUAAUUUGUUACUGCAGCAAUAGGAAACUAACAUGGAGUGUGAAACCUUAACAUUGGAUUUAGACGUGGCUGGAUAGAAAAGAUCAAAGCACUGCAGAAGAUUAUCUAAUUGCCUAAUACAGGUUGUAAAAAACAUUUUAAAAUGUUGCAAGUCAAAAAAUCAAGUCUUAAAAGUUUGACCCGAAUUAUUUUCCUAAGAUUUCAGACAAAGAUGUCUAGGCCUCUGUGGCCCAUUAUGGCUCUGGGAGUAGAAAGUCCUCUGGUAAGGCAUGUAGCUAGUGGUUAAAAAUGAAGACUAAAGCCAGACUGCCUGAGUUUGAAUCCCAGUCCCACCCUUGACUAACUGUGUGACUUGUGCCUCAGUCUCCUGAUCUGUACACUGGAGGUAAUAAUAUCCCCUUCAAAGGGAUGUUUUAAAGAUUAAAGAUGAAAUAUAUAGAACAAUGCCUCAAGUUUUUAGAAAAAUGCUUCUCACCUCAUAAAUAUUUGUUGCUGUUGUUACUAUUAUUGUUUUUAAUGACUGACAAGAGUGUCUUAUGCAGAAUAAAUAUCUCUUUGGGGACAAUGAAACAAUUGAAAGAAUGGACAACUGAAUUAUUGUAACAGAGCAGUGACCUAGGCGAGACCAAGUAUUAGGUUUACAAAUCAGCCAGCUAUCCGAUGCUUAGCACGUCCUUGUCAAAGACCUUUGGAAACUACAGGGUUUUUACUCUUAUGUUGGUCCCCAUGAAGUCAGGGUCUGUGAAGGGUCUGGGAUUUUACCCUACUUGCAAGCUAACGUGUUAGCCUAUUACAGAAGACUGGAGACAACUACAUCAGAGUCAGAGGACUUUAUUACUCACAGCACAGCAAACAGCAUGAGCGUGGUGGUGUUAAUUCCCCAUGUCCUCCAAAACUCACCGAGGUGACAAAGAUGGGCACGGGCGAAAUGAGUGCUAUGCACUCAGUGGAUUUGUGUCACAGUUGAGCAGCGUUGAGCUUAGGGAGCCUACUGCUUUUACAGUGGGCCAUGAGCAAGGGGUGGGUUGUGGCAGGGGGAGAGGGUGGGAGCUACUCUCCUCGUAGUUGUUGUGUCCUGGUUGACCCACCCCAAAAUGGAGAUGUCAGACCUGGGAGUUACAAGCCUCCAUGGGUUCAUUUUUAACAAGAGCUCAGCAGCAGACCAACGAUUGCGUCCCCUUUUUGAAAGGGGUGUGUUAUGGGUUGAAAUGUGUCUCCUGUCUCCAAAUUCAUAUGUUGAAGCCUUAACCUAUAGUACUUCAGAAUGUGAUCUUGUUUGGAGAUAGGGUCUUUACAGAGGUAAUCAAGUUAAAAUGAGGUCGUUAGAAUGGGCCCCAAUUCAGUGUGACUGAUGGCUUUAUGAGAAGAAGAAAUUUGGAUACAAGACCAUACAAUUCAUACUGGACUAUGCAUACCGGGACCAUACAAUGUGAAUAUGAAGACAGCUGUUUACAAGCCAAGGAAGGGGCCUGGAACAGAUGCUUCUCUCACAGCCUUAGUAAGGAACAAACCUUGCAGACACCUUGAUUUUAGAUUUCUCCCCUUCA